RNAcentral lists this ribosomal RNA (426 nucleotides) under uncultured Cellulomonas sp. Its description in RNAcentral is "bacterial SSU rRNA". It matches the Rfam family "Bacterial small subunit ribosomal RNA", at positions 356 to 774 of the family's 1533-position model. Lineage: Bacteria; Bacillati; Actinomycetota; Actinomycetes; Micrococcales; Cellulomonadaceae. The record is from RNAcentral.
GGGGAAUAUUGCACAAUGGGCGAAAGCCUGAUGCAGCGACGCCGCGUGAGGGAUGACGGCCUUCGGGUUGUAAACCUCUUUCAGCAGGGAAGAACCAGUACGUCAGGCAAUGGACGUACCUUGACGGUACCUUAUUAGAAAGCCACGGCUAACUACGUGCCAGCAGCCGCGGUAAUACGUAGGGCGCAAGCGUUGUCCGGAAUUAUUGGGCGUAAAGAGCUCGUAGGCGGUUAGUCGCGUCUGCUGUGAAAACUCGAGGCUCAACCUCGGGCUUGCAGUGGGUACGGGCUGACUAGAGUGCGGUAGGGGUGACUGGAAUUCCUGGUGUAGCGGUGGAAUGCGCAGAUAUCAGGAGGAACACCGAUGGCGAAGGCAGGUCACUGGGCCGCAACUGACGCUGAGGAGCGAAAGCAUGGGGAGCGAACA